CUAAGACCCCGAAUCUUGAAUGCUUAAAAGCUGAUGGCUGUGUAAGUUUGGAUCAAAUCCAUUCUUCAAACUGUCCUAGUCAAGCUUACCGAUUUAUGUCUUGAGAUAUGAUGGGCCAGAGCGAAUAAACAUUGGUGGUACUGUUAAAGGGAGAAAGAAGUUGAUCAGGGAGGGAUCAUCUCUGGCGUUUGAUUUGAACGAGUGUCAGAAAGUGGCGUGGUGGUACCAUUAAGAAGAGAAGUGGGUAAUGAUAAUGAGGAGAGGAUGAGAUUGGAAGUUGAAGACGACGAGUUAAUGGCACAAGCGGAGUGUUGUACAGGUAACACUAAUGCUAGUGUAUUAGCACUUGUUCCAUUAUUGGAAACGCAAGAGGUUACAUUAUUCUACAAGUUUCAAUUUUGAAAAGCAAAAAGAUUCAACCUCUCGUAGAUCUAAAACUGCGUUUGGACAUUACAGAGUCCCAUAUGAGUAAUUAUUGUGGUUGCUUCUCUUACUCUGCU
Neltuma alba is the source of this 500-nucleotide long non-coding RNA. RefSeq lists it as uncharacterized. Lineage: Eukaryota; Viridiplantae; Streptophyta; Magnoliopsida; Fabales; Fabaceae. The record is from RefSeq and is a predicted model, not a curated record. The transcript is spliced from 2 exons.